This 86-nucleotide transfer RNA is filed under the name Erythranthe guttata (spotted monkey flower). RNAcentral's name for it is "Mimulus guttatus (spotted monkey flower) tRNA". It matches the Rfam family "tRNA". Rfam says of the family: Transfer RNA (tRNA) molecules are approximately 80 nucleotides in length. Their secondary structure includes four short double-helical elements and three loops (D, anti-codon, and T loops). Further hydrogen bonds mediate the characteristic L-shaped molecular structure. tRNAs have two regions of fundamental functional importance: the anti-codon, which is responsible for specific mRNA codon recognition, and the 3' end, to which the tRNAs corresponding amino acid is attached (by aminoacyl-tRNA synthetases). tRNAs cope with the degeneracy of the genetic code in two manners: having more than one tRNA (with a specific anti-codon) for a particular amino acid; and 'wobble' base-pairing, i.e. permitting non-standard base-pairing at the 3rd anti-codon position. The record is from Rfam by way of RNAcentral. Lineage: Eukaryota; Viridiplantae; Streptophyta; Magnoliopsida; Lamiales; Phrymaceae.
CCGACCUUAGCUCAGUUGGUAGAGCGGAGGACUGUAGUAGGCUUAUAGCAAUCCUUAGGUCGCUGGUUCGAAUCCGGCAGGUCGGA